CCCGACUUAGCUCAGUCUGGCUAGAGCGGCUGACUGUAGAUCAGCAGGUCCCCGGUUCAAAUCCGGGAGUCGGGACCA
Molecule: transfer RNA, 78 nt
Filed under: Candidatus Methanomassiliicoccus intestinalis Issoire-Mx1
Lineage: Archaea; Methanobacteriati; Thermoplasmatota; Thermoplasmata; Methanomassiliicoccales; Methanomassiliicoccaceae
Also listed under: 2 other names
Description: tRNA-Tyr (GTA) (tRNA-Tyr-GTA-1-1)
Rfam family: tRNA
About the family: Transfer RNA (tRNA) molecules are approximately 80 nucleotides in length. Their secondary structure includes four short double-helical elements and three loops (D, anti-codon, and T loops).
Source: RNAcentral